UUGCACCGAGAUUCAACAUGGAACGAGUGGCGGACGGGUGAGUAACACGUGGGUAACCUGCCCUUAAGUGGGGGAUAACAUUUGGAAACAGAUGCUAAUACCGCAUAGAUCCAAGAACCGCAUGGUUCUUGGCUGAAAGAUGGCGUAAGCUAUCGCUUUUGGAUGGACCCGCGGCGUAUUAGCUAGUUGGUGAGGUAAUGGCUCACCAAGGCGAUGAUACGUAGCCGAACUGAGAGGUUGAUCGGCCACAUUGGGACUGAGACACGGCCCAAACUCCUACGGGAGGCAGCAGUAGGGAAUCUUCCACAAUGGACGCAAGUCUGAUGGAGCAACGCCGCGUGAGUGAAGAAGGCUUUCGGGUCGUAAAACUCUGUUGUUGGAGAAGAAUGGUCGGCAGAGUAACUGUUGUCGGCGUGACGGUAUCCAACCAGAAAGCCACGGCUAACUACGUGCCAGCAGCCGCGGUAAUACGUAGGUGGCAAGCGUUAUCCGGAUUUAUUGGGCGUAAAGCGAGCGCAGGCGGUUUUUUAAGUCUGAUGUGAAAGCCCUCGGCUUAACCGAGGAAGCGCAUCGGAAACUGGGAAACUUGAGUGCAGAAGAGGACAGUGGAACUCCAUGUGUAGCGGUGAAAUGCGUAGAUAUAUGGAAGAACACCAGUGGCGAAGGCGGCUGUCUGGUCUGUAACUGACGCUGAGGCUCGAAAGCAUGGGUAGCGAACAGGAUUAGAUACCCUGGUAGUCCAUGCCGUAAACGAUGAAUGCUAGGUGUUGGAGGGUUUCCGCCCUUCAGUGCCGCAGCUAACGCAUUAAGCAUUCCGCCUGGGGAGUACGACCGCAAGGUUGAAACUCAAAGGAAUUGACGGGGGCCCGCACAAGCGGUGGAGCAUGUGGUUUAAUUCGAAGCAACGCGAAGAACCUUACCAGGUCUUGACAUCUUUUGAUCACCUGAGAGAUCAGGUUUCCCCUUCGGGGGCAAAAUGACAGGUGGUGCAUGGUUGUCGUCAGCUCGUGUCGUGAGAUGUUGGGUUAAGUCCCGCAACG
Molecule: ribosomal RNA, 1040 nt
Filed under: Lacticaseibacillus casei
Lineage: Bacteria; Bacillati; Bacillota; Bacilli; Lactobacillales; Lactobacillaceae
Description: bacterial SSU rRNA
Rfam family: Bacterial small subunit ribosomal RNA
Source: RNAcentral